GACGAACGCUGGCGGCGUGCUUAAUACAUGCAAGUCGAACGGAAAGGCCCUGCGUUUGUGGGGUGCUCGAGUGGCGAACGGGUGAGUAAAACGUGAGUAACCUGCCCUUGACUUUGGGAUAACUUCAGGAAACUGGGGCUAAUACCGGAUAGGAGCUCCUGCUGCAUGGGGGGGGUUGGAAAGUGUCGGCGGUUUGGGAUGGACUCGCGGCUUAUCAGCUUGUUGGUGGGGUAGUGGCUUACCAAGGCUUUGACGGGUAGCCGGCCUGGGAGGGUGACCGGCCUCAUUGGGACUGAGGUACGGCCCAGACUCCUACCGGCGGCAGCAGUGGGGAAUAUUGCGGAGUGGGCGGAAGCCUGAUGCAGCAACGCCGCGUGCGGGAUGACGGCCUUCGGGUUGUAAACCGCUUUCGCCUGUGACGAAGCGUGCGUGACGGUAAUGGGUAAAGAAGCACCGGCUAACUACGUG
This 468-nucleotide ribosomal RNA is filed under the name uncultured bacterium. Its description in RNAcentral is "partial 16S ribosomal RNA". It matches the Rfam family "Bacterial small subunit ribosomal RNA", at positions 28 to 507 of the family's 1533-position model. The record is from RNAcentral.